This 2774-nucleotide long non-coding RNA is filed under the name Monomorium pharaonis (pharaoh ant). RNAcentral describes it as "uncharacterized LOC118648464". The record is from RNAcentral. Lineage: Eukaryota; Metazoa; Arthropoda; Insecta; Hymenoptera; Formicidae.
GUCGAAAAACGGUAACCGUGGGUGAGGAACAGUCUUCAGGAACGCGACGAUUACCGAGUUAAUUUCCUCUUAAUUAUAUCCGGAAGACUGACCCACAUCCAGGAGGUUCACGCUUAUGGAAAGGCAGGGCGUACAGUGGAUCGAUCACGGAUGUAGGAAUAUCAGGAUAAAUGCGGGGUGUGUACCAGAGACGCAGGAUGAAGCGAUACGGCAAACGGAAGGAUAAUGACGCCUCCUCAUUGCUCGCACAUGUUCAUUUCGCUCGCGAAUGAUACGGGUAAGGGCAACGGUGAAUCGCCGAAUAAUAAAUGAUUCCUACUGCGCGCCGCCAUGUCGAGAAAUAGGCUGGCAACAGCCGAGAGGGUAGCCAGCUGCGACUCAUCAAUUCCAAUCAAAAGGUAGCCCACUAUGAAGUUGACAGUUGGAUUUCCAACUUGUAAGUUUUUUACAGUGAGCCUCGCGCGCGAGGAGAACGCGUGGUUGUCGCAAGGAGGUCCGGUGCCGAUCUUUCAUUCCCCGCUUCAGCAACUAGGGUAAGGUAAUACAAUUUCGAAUCCCUAACCAAACAUUUAAACUCUAAUAUAAUUAGAAAGUUUGCAAUCUAAAAUUAGUUAUUAUAAUGAUUUUUUUUAAAAGUGAUCCGGUUAAUGUGAUCAAAGUCGAUAAUUUAUCUUAUUCCAAAAAAGUGUCGAAAAUGUGCGCAAUUCUGAACGUAACUCGGUGCACAUUUAUAAUUGAUUGUGGCAGGGAAAUUUGUGAUGGCACGUAGGUAUAAUAUAUAAAUUGCAUGAAACGUAAUUUAAAGUAGGAUUGUUUGCUCCAUGUAACGCUUUGAGUCAACUGUCCACAGAAAUAGAAAAAAAUAGAAAGAAAGAGAGAGAGAGAGGGAGAGAGAGAGAGAGAGAGAGAAUACGUAAUACGUAAUUUCAAAGUUGUACGAUCGUGGCUUAGAUACGCCCUGGGAAUCGAUGAAAACGAUUGAUACGUCGUUAAAAGCUCAUUAGAAUUUUUGUGCGGGCCGAUGAUCCUUGAAACCGGAAACUCCGAGGCACUCUCACGUGCACUCGUCGAGACUAAGUCGCAGGUGCUUGUUCCUAAGCGGCCCAAAGGGCUUUCCAAAGCACGUGCGCGAUGAGAAAGUUUCCUCUAUACCGGGAGUCUUAUCUCAUUUCCAUGACGCUCUUAUAAGACGUUACUAAACUCGCGAAGGAGUAAAAAGGGGGCUGAACCACCUGUAAGACGAACGGAUGCGGGAGGAAGAAUCGUAACGUAUUUCACGUGCAACAUUAAGCCUCAGGUGACACACGUUACGCAUGGACAGUUCGGUGUAUCCUGAUGAUUAAUACUCGGUUACUCCUCAUUGCAUGCACGGAGGAAAAACAGCACGUGCUUGAAACGGUGACGUAACAGCGUAAUAACGUGCUCGAUGCAGAUCGCGUCCGAUGAAAAGUAUACCGCACGGAAAGAGAUGUUGGAAAUUAAGUGAUUCGGCAAAAAAAAAAAACAACUUGCCGCACGAGUUCAAUAUCUAUAACUAAAAAAAGCUGAUAGCUCAACAAAGAAAUUAUGCCUCGAAAUAUAUCUGAAAGCGAUUAUCUGCGUGCUCGUUGAACAAAUUCUCUACACUGAAGAUUGCUAACGUAACGAGUCUUUUUCACAAUAGCAGAAACUAAAGUAUACGUCAUUUUCGCUGCUACGUUUUGCUAAAAUUUUAAUCCGUAUAUUGGACUGAUUUUCAAAAAAUUGUCCUGCUGUAUUAAUUAAAUUUAUUGUGCUAUCCUCUAACAAAUAUUAUUAACUAUUACUGUUAAUCGUAAUUUAAUCGUAAAACCUAACUACUUUAACAUACUUUAACUACUUUAACAUAGAAAACUGGCUGCUCGUAUGUUACGGCUAUAGAUCCGCUAAAUUAGUGAAGUUCUUAAUUGUUUUAACAAAUCUUCUUUUUCCGGGUAAUAAUUCACAAUUUUGUACUUUUCGAUUAAAAGGGCAAGACAAUUUGUGUCAUAUUUGCAAUCUUAGUAGAGAAGUUAAUUUUUUUUUUUUAAAUUACGACUAUGUCCGAGCUUUUAUUUGUCAUGCGCCAUAUCAAGCAAAAUAAGUAGUUGGCUUAAUUCCGUGGCCAUUUCGACCAACGCCACGAUCGUCGAGAGAGAAUAAAUUAUUGAAGCCGGAGGAAGGAAGGAAAACGGCGACGGUUGAGAACAGGAAACGACGCCGACUACUAUCGGCGCCAUCGUCCGCCCCAUUGGACAGCCUGCAUACGUACCGGAAUACGCUGGUACUCCGCACAAGUGACGCAGUACAAAGCGGCGAGUAUCGAAGAGUAUUCAACGACAACGAUCUAUUUAAUUACAUGUGAGGCUCCGCAGGUGUACCCUUCGUGGGGCUACUCCCCCUUUCUCGGCUCUCGCGCUGCCUCCUUGCUUUUUUUUUUCCUCGUUUUAAUUCGCCGCCUUGCGUAUCACAUUCGUACGGUCGAUCGUGCGUGAGAAAUGUUCCUGGAAACGAUAUCGAGACGGAAAAGAAAUGUCGCCGGGCUGCCCGCAUUAAGGACUUGCCGCUAAUUCACCACGGGAAACAAUAAUCGAGCAUCACACGGCUCGAUGUUCCCGAGGAAGAAGGCACACGUUCGACCGUGUGAAAGUUUGAUCUUCUCGCGCCUCUUUGCGAUGCUAUCGGUAAACCUUUCCCCCAAAAUCGAAUUAAUAAUAUUAAUAUAUUACACUAGCUUACUUAUUAAAAACUUAUAAUAAACAGCUGUUAAAAAAUUA